This 253-nucleotide ribosomal RNA is filed under the name uncultured bacterium. RNAcentral's name for it is "partial 16S ribosomal RNA". It matches the Rfam family "Bacterial small subunit ribosomal RNA", at positions 524 to 776 of the family's 1533-position model. The record is from RNAcentral.
GACGAACCGUGCGAACGUUGUUCGGAUUCAUUGGGCGUAAAGGGUGCGUAGGCGGCGCGGUAAGUCGGGUGUGAAAUCUUGGAGCUUAACUCCGAAACUGCAUUCGAUACUGCCGUGCUUGAGGACUGGAGAGGAGACUGGAAUUUACGGUGUAGCGGUGAAAUGCGUAGAUAUCGUAAGGAAGACCAGUGGCGAAGGCGGGUCUCUGGACAGUUCCUGACGCUGAGGCACGAAGGCCAGGGGAGCAAACGGG